Molecule: transfer RNA, 74 nt
Filed under: bacterium
Lineage: Bacteria
Description: tRNA-Val
Rfam family: tRNA
About the family: Transfer RNA (tRNA) molecules are approximately 80 nucleotides in length. Their secondary structure includes four short double-helical elements and three loops (D, anti-codon, and T loops).
Source: RNAcentral
GGACGCAUAGUUCAGUUGGUUAGAAUGCCUCGUUUACACCGAGGAGGUCCUAGGUUCGAAUCCUAGUGCGUCCA